UACGGAGGAGGCAAGCGUUAUCCGGAAUUAUUGGGCGUAAAGCGUCCGUAGGUGGUUAGCCAAGUCUGUUGUUAAAGCGUGAGGCUUAACCUCAUAAGGGCAGUGGAAACUGGUUAACUUGAGUGCGGUAGGGGUAGAGGGAAUUCCCAGUGUAGCGGUGAAAUGCGUAGAUAUUGGGAAGAACACCGGUGGCGAAGGCGCUCUACUGGGCCUGCACUGACACUGAGGGACGAAAGCUAGGGGAGCGAAAGGGAUUAGAUACCCCUGUAGUCCUAGCUGUAAACGAUGGAUACUAGGUGUUGCACGUAUCGACCCGUGCAGUGCCGUAGCUAACGCGUUAAGUAUCCCGCCUGGGGAGUACGCUCGCAAGAGUGAA
Molecule: ribosomal RNA, 376 nt
Filed under: uncultured bacterium
Lineage: Bacteria
Description: bacterial SSU rRNA
Rfam family: Bacterial small subunit ribosomal RNA
Source: RNAcentral